Cavia porcellus (domestic guinea pig) is the source of this 771-nucleotide long non-coding RNA. RefSeq lists it as uncharacterized. NCBI's taxonomy places the organism in Eukaryota, Metazoa, Chordata, Mammalia, Rodentia, Caviidae. The transcript has 5 exons. The record is from RefSeq and is a predicted model, not a curated record.
CUGGGCAGGUCCUCUUUAGAACCAGCCUAGCUACGUGGCAGAGGAAUCAACCCUUGGAUGGGUUGGACAAAUUCAGGGGUCCUGUGGCCCUGGAGAUGGGUCCAGUCCACAUCAUCUUCUGUGAUGCGGGAGCCAGAGAGCUGAAUGUCCCUUUCUGAGCCUCGGCAGCAUCAUCUAACGAGAGACUGCAUGCACUCUGGAGAAGUUGUGUAAAAGAUGGGGGACCCACCACUGGGGCCACUCACAGGGUGUGUGGAGCGAGCAUCAUGGAGGAGCAUGUGGUGAUAAUUCUCGACUCCUUGGCUGUGCCACACAGCUGAUCGCCCUUCUGGUCCUGAGCCAGGCAGGACCUGUGACAAGAUGCCAAGCCUCCCUGGCCUUCUGUUUCUCUAGAUAAAUGAAGCACCUCAUUAAAUGUGACCCUACUACGAGGUAAUGGGAAGAAUGUAUCAGGCCCAGGACUCUGAGAGCUCACUGACCGCCUCUGCAGCUCUGGAAGAGGCUGAGAAGGGACCAGUCUGAUGGCUGAGGUGAGAGCUCAUACCUGCGUGACUGCGUCUCCAGUGCUGAUGUCUGGCACAGGAGACCUAUCCUGGGGCUUUGAAAAAGCUGAAGUUAAGGUGUGCAAUGCAUUGGAUCAAUGACCAGCUUAUGACAAAUUCUCCAUAAAUGAUACCACUUCCCUAUGGGAGGAGUGAUAUUUUAUACAUAAGUGUGCCUGUGUAUGCACACAUGCAUGUGUAUGUGCCAGACUCUGCAUUAAACUCUAUA